Molecule: non-coding RNA, 73 nt
Organism: Stegodyphus mimosarum
Lineage: Eukaryota; Metazoa; Arthropoda; Arachnida; Araneae; Eresidae
Source: Rfam
GCCUUCGUGGUGUAGUGGUCAGCACACUGAGCCGGUAUUUCAGAGGUCCGCGGUUCGAUUCCCGGCGAAGGCG